CUAUACAUGCAAGUCGAGCGGACAGAUGGGAGCUUGCUCCCUGAUGUUAGCGGCGGACGGGUGAGUAACACGUGGGUAACCUGCCUGUAAGACUGGGAUAACUCCGGGAAACCGGGGCUAAUACCGGAUGGUUGUCUGAACCGCAUGGUUCAGACAUAAAAGGUGGCUUCGGCUACCACUUACAGAUGGACCCGCGGCGCAUUAGCUAGUUGGUGAGGUAACGGCUCACCAAGGCGACGAUGCGUAGCCGACCUGAGAGGGUGAUCGGCCACACUGGGACUGAGACACGGCCCAGACUCCUACGGGAGGCAGCAGUAGGGAAUCUUCCGCAAUGGACGAAAGUCUGACGGAGCAACGCCGCGUGAGUGAUGAAGGUUUUCGGAUCGUAAAGCUCUGUUGUUAGGGAAGAACAAGUGCCGUUCAAAUAGGGCGGCACCUUGACGGUACCUAACCAGAAAGCCACGGCUAACUACGUGCCAGCAGCCGCGGUAAUACGUAGGUGGCAAGCGUUGUCCGGAAUUAUUGGGCGUAAAGGGCUCGCAGGCGGUUUCUUAAGUCUGAUGUGAAAGCCCCCGGCUCAACCGGGGAGGGUCAUUGGAAACUGGGGAACUUGAGUGCAGAAGAGGAGAGUGGAAUUCCACGUGUAGCGGUGAAAUGCGUAGAGAUGUGGAGGAACACCAGUGGCGAAGGCGACUCUCUGGUCUGUAACUGACGCUGAGGAGCGAAAGCGUGGGGAGCGAACAGGAUUAGAUACCCUGGUAGUCCACGCCGUAAACGAUGAGUGCUAAGUGUUAGGGGUUUCCGCCCCUUAGUGCUGCAGCUAACGCAUUAAGCACUCCGCCUGGGGAGUACGGUCGCAAGACUGAAACUCAAGGAAUUGACGGGGCCCGCACAAGCGGUGGAGCAUGUGGUUUAUCGAGCACGCGAGACCUUACC
This 936-nucleotide ribosomal RNA is filed under the name Bacillus amyloliquefaciens. RNAcentral's name for it is "bacterial SSU rRNA". It matches the Rfam family "Bacterial small subunit ribosomal RNA", at positions 49 to 975 of the family's 1533-position model. The record is from RNAcentral. Lineage: Bacteria; Bacillati; Bacillota; Bacilli; Caryophanales; Bacillaceae.